GAAGUUUUUAUCUUAAUUUCAUACGUUUUCUCUUACCUGCUGCACAACAUAAACAGUUAAAACUAUUAAACUCUGUACUAAAGUUGAAACCAAAUGUCGUUCCUUCAUCGAGCCACGUGGUCUUUCUUUUAUAUGGAUUUUCUCUCUCUCCCUCACAUGCUCUUCCUCCCUCACAUGGACUCACAUGGGUUAUGUUAAAUAAGCACGUACUAUGCAAAAUUUUGUUUCAUGCACCCUCUGUAUCAUAUUAAACAAUAAUAAUUUUAAAGGUAAGAGGCUACGUUAAAAGGGCAUGUAUUAUGGAACAUUUUGUUCCAUGCACUCUCUGUAUCAUGUU
Molecule: long non-coding RNA, 337 nt
Filed under: Ananas comosus (pineapple)
Lineage: Eukaryota; Viridiplantae; Streptophyta; Magnoliopsida; Poales; Bromeliaceae
Description: long non-coding RNA (ACOM_LNC036963)
Source: RNAcentral